ACCUGGAAGCAAUUAAAAAAAAAAAUAGACAUUCCAGACCUGGCAGGUCCAGGGCACAUCUCCUUGUGCAAAGGUUUGCUUGCUCAAGCCCUGGCACAGGCCACUCAGGGCAGAGGAGGAGUCCCAUCCCUGGAGGGAUUUAAAAGACAUGUAGAUGUGUCACUUGGGGACCUGGUUUAGUGUGGGCUUGGCAGUGCUGGGGGGAUGGUUGGACUUGAUGAUCUUAGGUGGCUUUUCCAGCCUAUGGUUCUAAAUGAUUCUGUGAUUCUGCCUCCUCCUGAGGGGCAUUUUGAGCUCCCAGCUGGGCUCAGAGUGGGGCAGGUGCUGGUGAAGUACAUGGGAAAUGCUCCAUGGGGCUGAGACAUCUUUGGAGGGGCAAGGGGCAGCUGUGUGAUGGUAAGCACAGAGCACAGAUUAACAAAAAACUAUUACCAGGGUGAACAUCAGCCCCAGGACACCAAGGCAUCCCCAGACAGAGGGCUCCGCACAGCAGGAGAUGUUGGCACCCUCCCUGAUGGUAUCCAUGGUGAAAUCCAGCCCUGAUGAAAGCCAACCUCUCCUGUAGACCUUGAUCCUGCAAGAGGAACUACAGGGAUGGAUUUUCAGUCAGCCAGAACCAGCUGGAUUGAGGCCUUAUCUGAGAUAGCAAUAGAAUUAGCCAUGUGAUUUCUUUUCCAUGUUUACAGGGGCAAUAUUUUCCCAAAGUUCAAAGUCUUCCUCUGCAGGAAGCAUGUGAUAUGCUUUGCAGUCACACCAUAUUUUGGCGCUAUGAACAAUUAAAAAAAUCAAUUUCCGGAGCAAUAUUUUCUAUGUUUGUAAUCUCAGAACUAAUUACAGGGCUGGAAAAUCAAUAGCUAUCUGGAAAUCUUUCCAAUACAGCUAACUAAGCAUGCUACAUAUCAUGCUGGAAUAUAUUCUUCACAAACACAUGCUGCUCGUGACCAUCUCCCAGAUCACACAGGCAGAUGAUAUCACUGUUAAUAAGGCCCUGUGCUUCACUGCACUGCAAUGGCAGCAUUUACCAAAAUCUGCAGGGGGGAUUGGGCAGAGCAAAUAGCACAGUACAUGAGAGCUGGAGCAAUGCUUGUGCCAGCAUUUUAAGCCAACGACAAAAACAGUUGAAAGACUCAUUUAGUUCAACGGAAACCUACAAAAAAUUAUGAAAUAAAGUCAUUAAAAGUUCAUGCCUUAGUUAUAAUGUUGGUUUUUUUCAUCAUGCUGUAUUAAAAUAAAAAGUAAAACCUUUGGUGACUGAAAAUAACCUCUUUUUCUAGUUUCCUAGCAAGAGAGAAGUGGUGUUAAAUGGGUAGUUUGAUGGUGAUUAUACAUCAAAAACACACGUGAAGAGGAAGGGUGUUGCUCUGAUGGAUGGAUCUCCUCUUGCUGUGCAAACACACUCUGUUGACCAUGGCAGCUCAGUUGGAGCCAAAGCUCAAACCCUUGUGCUGAUGCUCUUCACUGCUUCCCACACACACUGCAGGCAUUGCUGGGAUCUUCUCCAAGAUGCUGCUGCCUCCCUCGUGCCCUGCAAGAGCUCAGCGUGCUCUUCCUUGGUAAGCUGGAGCUUGUGCUGCUGCUAAAUGAAGAGGAAACAUUCCCAUUGGACACAGUGCCAGCAGCACAGCAAGUGGAUAAGAAGCAGAGACCAGAGUACAGGGGAUUUUCCCCAGGCUCCCAUUUGCACUCCUGCUUGGUACAAGAAAGCAAUGAAUUCUGAGCUGUCACCAAGCCACAAAAUAUUUGCUCUGAUUUUAUAUGUUUUUCUCUGAUUAUUCUUCAUAGCUUUUCCCCCCCCAGUGAACUGACAUCUCUGCUCUUAUUCCCUCCGCAAGCAGGGAGAUUCCUGCAGUUCUCCAAGCUGAUGAUCCUCAUCCUGGAGUGGAACUUUGGGUCUAGCAGCCCAUGAGUUAAAGUGCAGCAUGUGCCUUGUCCCAGCCCUCAUCUCAGGAGACAGGCUGUGAUUUAUAGUCCCUCCUAAAUAAUUUGGCAGGCUGAAAUGACCUUGAUGGUGACGCAGAGCUGUGGGUGCCACGCAUUGCUCAGACUCUGCAGGACCAGACCUACAGCUGCUGCACUAAACUUCAAUGUCUUCUCUUCAGAUGAUGAUGUCUUUGGACUUUCCUAUUAUUCUUGCCAAUCUAAUGUCAUAUUUCCCUCAAAUAAAACUCGGUGUGUGAGAACUCA
This is a long non-coding RNA of Chiroxiphia lanceolata (lance-tailed manakin), 2184 nucleotides long. RefSeq lists it as uncharacterized. The transcript is spliced from 2 exons. Lineage: Eukaryota; Metazoa; Chordata; Aves; Passeriformes; Pipridae. The record is from RefSeq and is a predicted model, not a curated record.